RNAcentral lists this ribosomal RNA (167 nucleotides) under uncultured bacterium. Its description in RNAcentral is "partial 16S ribosomal RNA". It matches the Rfam family "Bacterial small subunit ribosomal RNA", at positions 186 to 354 of the family's 1533-position model. The record is from RNAcentral.
GCGCAUGACUCCGACGUCAAAGAUUUAUCGCUGGAAGAUGGCCUCGCGUCUGAUUAGCUAGUUGGUGAGGUAACGGCCCACCAAGGCGACGAUCAGUAGCCGGACUGAGAGGUUGGCCGGCCACAUUGGGACUGAGAUACGGCCCAGACUCCUACGGAAGGCAGCAG